CAGCGAAACUGCGAAUGGCUCAUUAUAUAAGUUAUCGUUUAUUUGAUAGUACCUUACUACUUGGAUAACCGUGGUAAUUCUAGAGCUAAUACAUGCUGAAAAUCCCGACUUCGGAAGGGAUGUAUUUAUUAGAUUAAAAACCAAUGCCCUCUGGGCUCCUUGGUGAUUCAUAAUAACUUUUCGAAUCGCAUGGCCUUGCGCCGGCGAUGGUUCAUUCAAAUUUCUUCCCUAUCAACUUUCGAUGUUUGGGUAUUGGCCAAACAUGGUCGCAACGGGUAACGGAGGGUUAGGGCUCGACCCCGGAGAAGGAGCCUGAGAAACGGCUACUACAUCCAAGGAAGGCAGCAGGCGCGCAAAUUACCCAAUCCCGAUUCGGGGAGGUAGUGACAAUAAAUACUGAUACAGGGCUCUUUUGGGUCUUGUAAUUGGAAUGAGUACAAUUUAAAUCCCUUAACGAGGAACAAUUGGAGGGCAAGUCUGGUGCCAGCAGCCGCGGUAAUUCCAGCUCCAAUAGCGUAUAUUAAAGUUGUUGUGGUUAAAAAGCUCGUAGUUGAACCUUGGGCCUGGCUGGCCGGUCCGCCUCACCGCGUGUACUGGUCCGGCCGGGCCUUUCCCUCUGUGGAACCUCAUGCCCUUCACUGGGUGUGGCGGGGAAACAGGACUUUUACUUUGAAAAAAUUAGAGUGCUCCAGGCAGGCCUAUGCUCGAAUACAUUAGCAUGGAAUAAUGAAAUAGGACGCGUGGUUCUAUUUUGUUGGUUUCUAGGACCGCCGUAAUGAUUAAUAGGGACAGUCGGGGGCAUCAGUAUUCAAUUGUCAGAGGUGAAAUUCUUGGAUUUAUUGAAGACUAACUACUGCGAAAGCAUUUGCCAAGGAUGUUUUCAUUAAUCAGGAACGAAAGUUAGGGGAUCGAAGACGAUCAGAUACCGUCGUAGUCUUAACCAUAAACUAUGCCGACUAGGGAUCGGACGAUGUUAUUUUUUGACGCGUUCGGCACCUUACGAGAAAUCA
RNAcentral lists this ribosomal RNA (1010 nucleotides) under Hypocreales sp. CBS 101284. RNAcentral describes it as "SSU rRNA". It matches the Rfam family "Eukaryotic small subunit ribosomal RNA", at positions 79 to 1100 of the family's 1831-position model. Lineage: Eukaryota; Fungi; Ascomycota; Sordariomycetes; Hypocreales. The record is from RNAcentral.